RNAcentral lists this ribosomal RNA (821 nucleotides) under uncultured bacterium. Its description in RNAcentral is "bacterial SSU rRNA". It matches the Rfam family "Bacterial small subunit ribosomal RNA", at positions 1 to 714 of the family's 1533-position model. The record is from RNAcentral.
AACUACCUGGUCCGCGAAUGCCUUAGAUUAAGUUUGAUCAUGGCUCAGGCCGAGCGCUAGCGGCGUGCCUAAUACAUGCAAGUCGAGCGGAUUCAUCCUUCGGGAUGGGUUAGCGGCGGACGGGUGAGUAACACGUAGGCAACCUGCCUGCAAGGCUGGGAUAACUAACGGAAACGUUAGCUAAUACCGGAUACGCGGUUGGAUCGCAUGAUCCGAUCGGGAAAGAGGGUUUCGGCUCUCGCUUGUAGAUGGGCCUGCGGCGCAUUAGCUAGUUGGUGGGGUAACGGCUCACCAAGGCGACGAUGCGUAGCCGACCUGAGAGGGUGAUCGGCCACACUGGGACUGAGACACGGCCCAGACUCCUACGGGAGGCAGCAGUAGGGAAUCUUCCGCAAUGGACGCAAGUCUGACGGAGCAACGCCGCGUGAGUGAUGAAGGUUCUCGGAUCGUAAAGCUCUGUUGCCAGGGAAGAACGGCCAGGGGAGUAACUGCCCUUGGCAUGACGGUACCUGAGAAGAAAGCCCCGGCUAACUACGUGCCAGCAGCCGCGGUAAUACGUACGGGGGCAAGCGUUGUCCGGGAAUUACUUGGGCGUAAAGCGCGCGCAGGCGGUUGCAUUANGGUUUGGUGUUUUAAGGCCCNGGGGGCUCAAGCCCCCGGAUUCGCACUUGGACAAAACUGGUCGACUUUGCAGUGUACGGGAGCAGGAACAGUGGCGAAAUUCCACCGUUGUAGCCGGUGCAAACUGCCGUUAGAAGAAUGUGGNAGGUGAAACAACCAAGGUNGGCCGAAAANGGCGAACUUUUCCUGGCGCCUUAUUU